CCAAAGGCUCUUUUCAGGGCCACUCCCUUUCUUGUUUAAAGCGCUGU
Molecule: non-coding RNA, 47 nt
Organism: Oryctolagus cuniculus (rabbit)
Lineage: Eukaryota; Metazoa; Chordata; Mammalia; Lagomorpha; Leporidae
Source: Rfam